This 77-nucleotide non-coding RNA is filed under the name Microlunatus phosphovorus NM-1. Lineage: Bacteria; Bacillati; Actinomycetota; Actinomycetes; Propionibacteriales; Propionibacteriaceae. The record is from RNAcentral.
UUGAGCCGGGUGCGGUGAAAGCCGCACGCCCGGUUCUGAGGGGGCCCCGGCGCAGCAAUGCGCCGGGGCUACCCGAC